UAGACGUGUGCGGGGGUUUGGUGGGGCGUGUGGCGCAGAGCAAUUGCUUGAUCAUUGACCGAAGUGCAGAACAUUGGCUAGUCCCUGCUUUUUUCGGUCCCAGCCUCUGUGUUCGCCUGUGAGCUGAAGGCACUAGUCCGUGAGGGCACUCGAACCGCAAGCCGAACUAAGGUCCGAGGCGCAUUGAAACGCCGCUGUGCCUAAAAGGUACCGGUUCCAUGGUUAGCGAAGAUAGGGGCAUUUGAUAAUAUCGAAGCGUUCAAGAUAGUUGAGUGACAUUGGGCUUAUAUAGCUCUUUCUGGAACGAGGGUGUUCUGCGCUGACGUCUAGGAUGGGUGCAUAGGCUCGCAAAACAAGGCUGAAGCAAGUCAUAUUUACAUAGAUUGAAUAUUUCACCAAGCAUGAAGAUCAUCACUGUAUUUAUUUCUAUAGCACUAUGCAUGGGCAGUACAAUAGCAUCAUCCAGCAGCAAGUUACAGAAAGGCUGGACUCAGCAUUUUGUUGUGAGUGAUGAUAAUCUUGAGUCAGAAGAACAAACAAAUGGACAUGAGAGUGUCAGGAGGGCGAGGAGUGCUCCACUGGAUUUUCUAGGACAAGGAAUCCCUACAGCUGAUAAGAACAUCACAACUGUGGUGGAACUCAAUGACACCCAUCAUUCCGGCCUAAUCCACUGGGCUGGUGAUGGCUCGGACCUGGUCAUCUGCCUAACUCGGGACAUGGUGAUCAUGCCAAACAAGCCCAGUGGCAUCCAUGUGUCAUUUGACUAUGGCCGCUCCUUUGUCAAUAUCUCUGGCAACUUCACACUGGAGGAUGGCUCACCAGCCAUCAUCAGCCGUUUCUUCGAGCACCCUAGUUUCAACGACAUUUACGUGUUUACGGACAAGAUCAACAAGCAGAUCUUCGUGACGGAGGAAUAUCGCCAAGGGCGUCAAGCGCCACGCUGUCGACUUCGUGCCCUCCAAGAUCAGCUUCGACCCGCACAGACGCACCGUGUUGCUGGCCUAUGACGAGAACAUCCAGUCGCUGUGGGCCAGCGACACGUUCGGCGUCUCGUGGCACGUGGUGGACCAGUACGUGUCGUCCUUCACGUGGGACGAGAGCGCGGACCCGUCCGUGCUGUACGUGCACCGGCGGCAGCCGGACAGCCCGGGCGUCGUGCGCGCCUCUAGCGGCCUAUUCACCAACUACACGGUGGUGGCCGAGGAUGUGGAGAAGUUCUCGAUCGAGGGUGACUUCAGGUUCGCCGUCAGGAAAGUGGUGAGUCGGUCACGGGGCAUGGCUGCUGAUGAGCAAUCCGUCACGGAGGCGUUGUGAUGCCCCGAAAAGCGGGGGCCAAAACUGGUUUUCAAGUCAGUUUCUCCCAUGCUUCGCCCUAGCGUUGGCGUUAAACUCACGCAGACUUAGUAAUGGGUUCGCCCCCUCCUCGGGCUCUUACGACCGUGUUCGUAGGGUUCGACCUCCUCUUUUUGUCAUGUUCACUUUUUCGAACGGUUUGCGAGGGGCACUUCGGGCCUCAAAGACACGCCAAAGCCCUUCUCAGCAUUCGGCGGGGGACGAGCUCUCCCCGCAGCCAUAUCACGA
This 1581-nucleotide long non-coding RNA is filed under the name Pollicipes pollicipes. RNAcentral's name for it is "uncharacterized LOC119093873". The record is from RNAcentral. Lineage: Eukaryota; Metazoa; Arthropoda; Thecostraca; Pollicipedomorpha; Pollicipedidae.